GCCACGUCCUCAUCCUGCUUCUUGUCACGGCAUCGCCAGCAGAGCAGGAAGUUUUUCGGCAAUGUAACUAGUAAUUGUUGAAAAGGGAGCACAGGUUUCCUUUGGCAGUGAGAUGCACUGUGAGCCUAGGCAGUCUUGAGAAGGAAGCUAUUCUGUACUGAAUCAGCAUGGGAUAGAGUGCCUAGAAGACGUUCAGACCAAGCACAGCUAGCGCGUCCCUGCUGGUUCUCCAUUCUGCAUCCGUGCAGCCACGUUCUAUUGAUGGCCUGUUGUGAUUUCAAUGGAACAUCAUGGGAUGUACCUGGCACGUCGGGCAGCACUGGAUGGAGGUGCC
This 334-nucleotide long non-coding RNA is filed under the name Melopsittacus undulatus (budgerigar). Its description in RNAcentral is "lncRNA (ENSMUNG00000013365.2)". Lineage: Eukaryota; Metazoa; Chordata; Aves; Psittaciformes; Psittaculidae. The record is from RNAcentral.